This 203-nucleotide long non-coding RNA is filed under the name Elaeis guineensis (African oil palm). RNAcentral's name for it is "long non-coding RNA (EGUI_LNC066246)". Lineage: Eukaryota; Viridiplantae; Streptophyta; Magnoliopsida; Arecales; Arecaceae. The record is from RNAcentral.
GGGACGUCGGCUGCUGAUGAAAUGAGCUGCCAACUAGUGGCUCAUUUGAUCAAAGGAGAAGAUAGUAUCUGGCUUCAAUGUUGAGUACCAAUUUCUUGCUGCUCCCUUCAAGGUAGAUGGGAAAGCUCGGCACAGGAUGGCGUCUGGUGCGCCAUGGAGCAGCAUCAUUAUCCAGAAGGCCUCCAGGUGGUCAACCAGAUCUG